Molecule: ribosomal RNA, 489 nt
Filed under: uncultured archaeon
Lineage: Archaea
Description: bacterial SSU rRNA
Rfam family: Archaeal small subunit ribosomal RNA
Source: RNAcentral
ACGGGGGGAUCCCAAGUGCCAUUCUUAACGGGAUGGCUUUUCAUUAGUGUAAAGAGCUUUUGGAAUAAGGGCUGGGCAAGACCGGUGCCAGCCGCCGCGGUAACACCGGCAGCUCUAGUGGUAGCAGUUUUUAUUGGGCCUAAAGCGUCCGUAGCCGGUUUAAUAAGUCUCUGGUGAAAUCCUGUAGCUUAACUGUGGGAAUUGCUGGAGAUACUAUUAGACUUGAGACCGGGAGAGGUUGGAGGUACUCCCAGGGUAGAGGUGAAAUUCUGUAAUCCUGGGAGGACCGCCUGUUGCGAAGGCGUCUAACUGGAACGGUUCUGACGGUGAGGGACGAAAGUUAGGGGCGCGAACCGGAUUAGAUACCCGGGUAGUCCUAACUGUAAACGAUGCGGACUUGGUGUUGGGGUGGCUUUGAGCUGCUCCAGUGCCGAAGGGAAGCUGUUAAGUCCGCCGCCUGGGAAGUACGGUCGCAAGACUGAAACUUAA